GAAGAAGAAGAAGAAGAAGAAGAAGAAGAAGAAGAAGAAGAAGAAGAAGAAGAAGAAGAAGAAGAAAUUAGAAGAAGAAAAGAAGAAGGACAAAUGGCUCUUUUCUGGUCUCACCUUUUCCCUUCCUGUCACUCAUGUGGACCUCAGAUAAGAGCACAGAUACUCUCGACCUCUUACAUUUGGAGAGUUUUGAGCAGACAGGAAGAAGACGGAGCCUGGGAGCAGCUGUUCUCCAAUAGUCAAAUUAAGACUGUUCCUCUCUGAGCUCUGUACUUCAACCAGCACCUUUAGGCAGAAGCCAUCAAAUCAGAAAUGUCUGUUAAUAAUUAAAGUCUAUGAUUGCCACCAA
Molecule: long non-coding RNA, 349 nt
Filed under: Rattus norvegicus (Norway rat)
Lineage: Eukaryota; Metazoa; Chordata; Mammalia; Rodentia; Muridae
Description: long non-coding RNA NONRATT008185
Source: RNAcentral